GCAAACUUGGUCAUUUAGAGGAAGUAAAAGUCGUAACAAGGUUUCCGUAGGUGAACCUGCGGAAGGAUCAUUAACGAACGAGUGGCGCCCGAGUUGUAGCUGGCCGACCUUUGAGGUUGGCAGGUGCUCGCCCGGGUGUCUUCCACACAUACCUCUGUGCACGCUUGCGUGAGAUGCGACGGUUCUCGAUGGGCCGGAGCGCUCGCGCCUAUCUUACAAACUCUUGAAUGUAUCGGAAUGUUUCUUGCGUUGACUCGCAUCUAAUACAACUUUCAACAACGGAUCUCUUGGCUCUCGCAUCGAUGAAGAACGCAGC
Molecule: unclassified non-coding RNA, 316 nt
Filed under: uncultured fungus
Lineage: Eukaryota; Fungi
Description: partial contains small subunit ribosomal RNA, internal transcribed spacer 1, and 5.8S ribosomal RNA
Rfam family: Eukaryotic small subunit ribosomal RNA (bases 1-73)
Source: RNAcentral